GGUCCUGUGGUGAAGUUUACAACGACGGCUUUUCAGGCCGUAGACCUUGGAAAAAAGCCAAGCGGGAACU
This 70-nucleotide transfer RNA is filed under the name Tringa tobata (red-necked phalarope). RNAcentral describes it as "Phalaropus lobatus (red-necked phalarope) tRNA-Glu". Lineage: Eukaryota; Metazoa; Chordata; Aves; Charadriiformes; Scolopacidae. The record is from RNAcentral.